Danio aesculapii is the source of this 389-nucleotide long non-coding RNA. RefSeq lists it as uncharacterized. The record is from RefSeq and is a predicted model, not a curated record. The transcript has 3 exons. NCBI's taxonomy places the organism in Eukaryota, Metazoa, Chordata, Actinopteri, Cypriniformes, Danionidae.
AACCUGCGGAAUCUGCGAUAAAGAGGAGGAAUGGAGUGAAGAGACUCACCUAAUGAAGGUUGUGUUUGGACUGUACAGCCAACAGAAUCAGAGCUCUGGACAUUUGACAGCCAUGGACUGUAAGGAUGGACAUCUGCUGCUGGACAGGCAAAAGCGAAACGACUGCUGGUCAUGAUUCUGGAGGUCAGCGGAGACGCCAUGAUUCCCCACACCUUCUCACUCACUGUUCAACUGUUAUGUUCCCUGUUGUUACACACAAAAACAACUGUUCAAGUUACAGGUCCAGCAUGCUGAGUUGGGUCUUGAAUCACCUGGACUCCAACAAAACCUCAUCUUCAUUAACCCAGCAGAGCCACCAUGGCUUUCACAAUGAGUGUGUUGGAGACACU